This 45-nucleotide non-coding RNA is filed under the name Schistosoma haematobium. The record is from RNAcentral. Lineage: Eukaryota; Metazoa; Platyhelminthes; Trematoda; Strigeidida; Schistosomatidae.
AUCCCGCUGACGAGUCCCGAAUAGGACGCAACUCACGUCCUAGAU